GAUGAACGCUGGCGGCGUGCCUAAUACAUGCAAGUCGAGCGAACAGACGAGGAGCUUGCUCCUCUGACGUUAGCGGCGGACGGGUGAGUAACACGUGGAUAACCUACCUAUAAGACUGGGAUAACUUCGGGAAACCGGAGCUAAUACCGGAUAAUAUAUUGAACCGCAUGGUUCAAUAGUGAAAGACGGUUUUGCUGUCACUUAUAGAUGGAUCCGCGCCGCAUUAGCUAGUUGGUAAGGUAACGGCUUACCAAGGCAACGAUGCGUAGCCGACCUGAGAGGGUGAUCGGCCACACUGGAACUGAGACACGGGCCAGACUCCUACGGGAGGCAGCAGUAGGGAAUCUUCCGCAAUGGGCGAAAGCCUGACGGAGCAACGCCGCGUGAGUGAUGAAGGUCUUCGGAUCGUAAAACUCUGUUAUUAGGGAAGAACAAAUGUGUAAGUAACUAUGCACGUCUUGACGGUACCUAAUCAGAAAGCCACGGCUAACUACG
RNAcentral lists this ribosomal RNA (495 nucleotides) under uncultured bacterium. RNAcentral's name for it is "partial 16S ribosomal RNA". It matches the Rfam family "Bacterial small subunit ribosomal RNA", at positions 28 to 505 of the family's 1533-position model. The record is from RNAcentral.